This 1168-nucleotide ribosomal RNA is filed under the name Leuconostoc carnosum. RNAcentral describes it as "bacterial SSU rRNA". It matches the Rfam family "Bacterial small subunit ribosomal RNA", at positions 299 to 1459 of the family's 1533-position model. The record is from RNAcentral. Lineage: Bacteria; Bacillati; Bacillota; Bacilli; Lactobacillales; Lactobacillaceae.
ACUGAUCGGCCACAUUGGGACUGAGACACGGCCCAAACUCCUACGGGAGGCUGCAGUAGGGAAUCUUCCACAAUGGGCGAAAGCCUGAUGGAGCAACGCCGCGUGUGUGAUGAAGGCUUUCGGGUCGUAAAGCACUGUUGUAUGGGAAGAAAAGUUAAGGUAGGGAAUGACCUUAGCCUGACGGUACCAUACCAGAAAGGGACGGCUAAAUACGUGCCAGCAGCCGCGGUAAUACGUAUGUCCCGAGCGUUAUCCGGAUUUAUUGGGCGUAAAGCGAGCGCAGACGGUUGGUUAAGUCUGAUGUGAAAGCCCGGAGCUCAACUCCGGAAAGGCAUUGGAAACUGGUUAACUUGAGUGCAGUAGAGGUAAGUGGAACUCCAUGUGUAGCGGUGGAAUGCGUAGAUAUAUGGAAGAACACCAGCGGCGAAGGCGGCUUACUGGACUGUAACUGACGUUGAGGCUCGAAAGUGUGGGUAGCAAACAGGAUUAGAUACCCUGGUAGUCCACACCGUAAACGAUGAACACUAGGUGUUAGGAGGUUUCCGCCUCUUAGUGCCGAAGCUAACGCAUUAAGUGUUCCGCCUGGGGAGUACGACCGCAAGGUUGAAACUCAAAGGAAUUGACGGGGACCCGCACAAGCGGUGGAGCAUGUGGUUUAAUUCGAAGCAACGCGAAGAACCUUACCAGGUCUUGACAUCCUUUGAAGCUUUUAGAAAUAGAAGUGUUCUCUUCGGAGACAAAGUGACAGGUGGUGCAUGGUCGUCGUCAGCUCGUGUCGUGAGAUGUUGGGUUAAGUCCCGCAACGAGCGCAACCCUUAUUGUUAGUUGCCAGCAUUCAGAUGGGCACUCUAGCGAGACUGCCGGUGACAAACCGGAGGAAGGCGGGGACGACGUCAGAUCAUCAUGCCCCUUAUGACCUGGGCUACACACGUGCUACAAUGGCGUAUACAACGAGUUGCCAACCUGCGAAGGUGAGCUAAUCUCUUAAAGUACGUCUCAGUUCGGACUGCAGUCUGCAACUCGACUGCACGAAGUCGGAAUCGCUAGUAAUCGCGGAUCAGCACGCCGCGGUGAAUACGUUCCCGGGUCUUGUACACACCGCCCGUCACACCAUGGAAGUUUGUAAUGCCCAAAGCCGGUGGCCUAACCGUAAGGAGGGAACCGUCUA